CCCCUAGAUGUUCUGGGCCGCACGCGCGCUACACUGAACAGUUCAACAAGUCUUAACCUUGGCCGAUAGGUCUGGGUAAUCUUUGAACGCUGUUCGUGAUUGGGAUAGACCUUUGCAAUUAUGGGUCUUCAACGAGGAAUUCCUAGUAAACGCAAGUCAUCAGCUUGCAUUGAUUACGUCCCUGCCCUUUGUACACACCGCCCGUCGCACCUACCGAUUGAAUGGUCCGGUGAAGCCUCGGGAUUGUGGCGAGUUCCCUUUAUUGGGAGUUUGUCGCGAGAACUUGUCUGAACCUUAUCAUUUAGAGGAAGGUGAAGUCGUAACA
RNAcentral lists this ribosomal RNA (325 nucleotides) under uncultured eukaryote. Its description in RNAcentral is "partial 18S ribosomal RNA". It matches the Rfam family "Eukaryotic small subunit ribosomal RNA", at positions 1470 to 1796 of the family's 1831-position model. The record is from RNAcentral.